RNAcentral lists this ribosomal RNA (407 nucleotides) under Verrucomicrobiota bacterium. Its description in RNAcentral is "Verrucomicrobia bacterium partial 16S ribosomal RNA". It matches the Rfam family "Bacterial small subunit ribosomal RNA", at positions 355 to 776 of the family's 1533-position model. The record is from RNAcentral. Lineage: Bacteria; Pseudomonadati; Verrucomicrobiota.
UGGGGAAUAUUGGACAAUGGAGGAAACUCUGAUCCAGCAAUUCUGUGUGUGUGAAGAAGGUUUUAGGACUGUAAAACACUUUUAGUAGGGAAGAAAAAAAUGACGGUACCUACAGAAGAAGCAACGGCUAAAUACGUGCCAGCAGCCGCGGUAAUACGUAUGUUGCGAGCGUUAUCCGGAAUUAUUGGGCUUAAAGGGCAUCUAGGCGGUAAGACAAGUUGAAGGUGAAAACCUGUGGCUCAACCAUAGGCUUGCCUACAAAACUGUUGAACUAGAGUACUGGAAAGGUGGGUGGAACUACACGAGUAGAGGUGAAAUUCGUAGAUAUGUGUAGUAAUGCCGAUGAUGAAGAUAACUCACUGGACAGAAACUGACGCUGAAGUGCGAAAGCUAGGGGAGCAAACAGG